Molecule: non-coding RNA, 74 nt
Organism: Podarcis lilfordi (Lilford's wall lizard)
Lineage: Eukaryota; Metazoa; Chordata; Lepidosauria; Squamata; Lacertidae
Source: the annotation of a GenBank genome assembly
UGGGAUAGCUCAGUUGGUAGAGCACGAGACUCUUAACCUCAGGGUCAACGGUUCAAGCACCAAGUUGGGCAAAA